CGGGGCGUGGCGCAGCCUGGUUUAGCGCACCUGCAUGGGGCGCAGGGGGUCGGAGGUUCAAAUCCUCUCGUCCCGACCA
RNAcentral lists this transfer RNA (79 nucleotides) under Pseudomonadota bacterium. Its description in RNAcentral is "tRNA-Pro". It matches the Rfam family "tRNA". Rfam says of the family: Transfer RNA (tRNA) molecules are approximately 80 nucleotides in length. Their secondary structure includes four short double-helical elements and three loops (D, anti-codon, and T loops). RNAcentral also lists the same sequence under 2 other names. Lineage: Bacteria; Pseudomonadati; Pseudomonadota. The record is from RNAcentral.